UCUUGAACUCCUGGGCUUGAGCAAUCCCCUCA
This 32-nucleotide non-coding RNA is filed under the name Homo sapiens (human). Lineage: Eukaryota; Metazoa; Chordata; Mammalia; Primates; Hominidae. The record is from RNAcentral.